Molecule: ribosomal RNA, 492 nt
Filed under: uncultured bacterium
Lineage: Bacteria
Description: partial 16S ribosomal RNA
Rfam family: Bacterial small subunit ribosomal RNA
Source: RNAcentral
AGUGAACGCUGGCGGUAGGCCUAACACAUGCAAGUCGAACGGCAGCACAGUAAGAGCUUGCUCUUACGGGUGGCGAGUGGCGGACGGGUGAGGAAUACAUCGGAAUCUACUUUUUCGUGGGGGGUAAUGUAGGGAAACUUACGCUAAUACCGCAUACGACCUACGGGUGAAAGCAGGGGAUCUUCGGACCUUGCGCGAUUGAAUGAGCCGAUGUCGGAUUAGCUAGUUGGCGGGGUAAAGGCCCACCAAGGCGACGAUCCGUAGCUGGUCUGAGAGGAUGAUCAGCCACACUGGAACUGAGACACGGUCCAGACUCCUACGGGAGGCGGCAGUGGGGAAUAUUGGACAAUGGGCGCAAGCCUGAUCCAGCCAUACCGCGUGGGUGAAGAAGGCCUUCGGGUUGUAAAGCCCUUUUGUUGGGAAAGAAAAGCAGCAGGUUAAUACCCCGCUGUUCUGACGGUACCCAAAGAAUAAGCACCGGCUAACUUCGUG